UCUCAAUCUCCUGACCUCAUGAUCCACCCACCUCGGCCUCCCAAAAUGCUGGGAUUAUAGGCAUGAGCCAUUGACCCUGGCUCCCAUGUCCAGUUUCAUAAGGAUUAUUGGCGUGUAGUUUUGUGAUGUCUUUCUCUUGUUUUGGUAUCAGGGCAAUAUUGGUCUAAAAGAAUGGGUUGAGAAGUCCUCUCCUACUAUUUCAAAAAGAGUUUGUAAAGGAUUGGUGUUUCAUUCAAUGUUUUGUAGAAUUCACCAGUGAGGGCAUUUGAUCCCAGUUGGGCUUUUCCUCGUGAGAGGUUUCUUUAUUACAAAUUCCAUUUCUUGUUAUAGGUCUGUUCAGAUUUUCUGUUUCUUCUUGAGUCAGUUCUCAUAGUUUGGGUCUAUUAGUCUGUUCUUGUGUUUCUAUGAAGAAACACCUGAGAGUGGGUAACUUAUAAAGAAAAGAGGUUUUAAUUGGCUCACAGUUCUUUAGGUUUUGCAGGAAGCAUGGUGCUGGCAUCUGCUUGCCUUCUGGAGGCCUUGGGAAGCUUAACAAUCAUGGCAGAAGGUGAAGGGGGAAGCUGGCCUCUCACAUGGCAGGAGUGAGAGCAAGAGAGAAAGAGGUGUCACACACUUUUAAAUGACCAGGUCUUGUGAGAACUGACUAUCUCAAGGAUAGCACCAGGGCAUGAGGAAUCUGCCCCUGUGGCCAAAACACCUCCCACCAGGCCCCACCUCCAACAUUGGGGAUUACAAUUCAAGGUGAGAUUUAGCAGGAGCAACAUCUAAACUACAUGAGGGUCUUUCUAAGAAUUACUCAUUUCAUCUAGAUUCUCUAAAUUGUUGAGAUAACAACUGUUCAUACUGUUCCUUUACAUUCCCAUUUAUUUCUAUAAUAUUGAUAGUAAUAUCCCCUCUUACUUUUCUGAUCUAGUAUAAUUUGAGUAUUCUCUUUUUUUUUUCGGUUGGUCUAGCUACAGAAUUGUCAACAUUGUUGACGUUUUCAGAGAACUAGCUUUUGUUUUUAUUCAUUUUUCUCUAUUUUUGUUUCAUUUAUGUAUACUCUGCUUAUUUCCUUCUGCUUUGCUCUUUUUCUAGUUUCUUAAGGUAGAUGAUGUGGUUAUUGAAUUUUUUUUUUUUUUUUUUUUUUUUUGAGAUGAAGUCUCACUCUGUUCCCCAGGCUGGAGUGCAGCGGCAUGAUCUCCGCUCACUGCAAGCUCUGCCUCCCAGGUUCAUGCCAUUCUCCUGCCUCAGCCUCCCGAGGAGCUGGGACUACAGGCGACUGCCACCACACCCAGCUAAUUUUUUGUAUUUUUAGUAGAAAGGAGGUUUCACCAUGUUAGCCAGGAUGGUCUCGAUCUCCUGACCUCGUGAUCUGCCUGCCUUGGCCUCCCAAAGUGCUGGGAUUACAGGCGUGAGCCACCGUGCCUGGCCCAAUGUGGUAAUUGAUUUUAAAUUUUAAGGUUUUUGUUUACUUGUUUGUUUGUUUUGAGACAAGAUCUCAGUCUGUUGCCCAUGCUAGAGUGCAGUGGCGCGAUCAUAGUUCACUACAGCCUUGAACUCCUGAACUACUGGGACUACAGGCACGUGCCAGCACACCUACCUAAUUUAAAGAGAUGUUUUUAGACACAGGCUCUUGAAUUCCUCACCUCAUGGUACUCUCCUGCCUCAGCCUGCCAAAUAGGUGGGAUUAUAGGCAUAUGCCACCAUGCUUGGCUUAUCUUUUUAUUUAUUUAUUUAUUUUAUUUAGUUAUUUAUUUUUGA
This 1743-nucleotide long non-coding RNA is filed under the name Homo sapiens (human). RNAcentral's name for it is "HSALNT0180809". Lineage: Eukaryota; Metazoa; Chordata; Mammalia; Primates; Hominidae. The record is from RNAcentral.